AGCGCGGGUGCGAGUCGGAGGGUGCAAGCCCGUGGGCGAAGUGAAAGCGAGUUUAAAAACGAGCAGUUUGGGGCGGCAUAAGAUCGUUGAUCUUAAGACCGACCCAGAGCAGUUGCGCUGGGACCCGAAAGAUGGUGAACUAUGCCGGAGUAGGGCAAAGCCAGAGGAAACUCUGGUGGAGGCUCGUAGCGGUGCUGACGUGCAAAUCGCUCGUCGAACUUGGGUAUAGGGGCGAAAGACUAAUCGAACCAUCUAGUAGCUGGUUCCCUCCGAAGUUUCUCUCAGGAUAGCGGGCCGACAAGUUGUUUUGUGCGGUAAAGCGAAUGAUUAGCGCAUUCGGGGGCGUUUAGCCUUUGGGCGAUUCUCAAACUUUCAAUGCGCAAGGGUGCCGCUGCUUAAUUGAGCGGUACCGGUAAAAACGUCGGCCCUGUGGGCCACUUUUGGUAAGCAGAACAGGCGAUACGGGAUGAACCGUAAGCAAGGUUAAGGCGCCAAACUACCCGCUUAUAGACCCCACAAAAGGUGUUGAUUCAUCGAGACAGCAGGACGGUGGCCAUGGAAGUCGGAAUCCGCCAAGGAGUGUGUAACAACUCACCUGCCGAAUGAAUUAGCCCUGAAAAUGGAUGGCGCUGAAGCGGGUGGCCGACACCUUGCCGUCUGGACAAGAAUUUCAGAUGAGUAGGAGGGCGUGGCGGCCGUGUCGAAGCCUGCGUGCAGACGCGUGUGGAACGGCCGCUAGUGCAGAUCUUGGUGGUAGUAGCAAGUAUUCAAGCGAGAUCCUUGAAGGGCGAAGUGGGGAAGGGUUUCACGCGAACAUUGAUUGGGCGUGAGUGAGUCGUUCCUAAGCCGAGUGGCAAUUGCUAAUUAACGGCGAAAGGGAAGCGGGUUGACAUUCCCGCACACGGAUGUGGAGGCGGUGACGCAUUAUUGGGGCGAACACGCUGGCGAUGGCGCUGGGCAGAGUUGUCUUUUCUGUUUGACCGCUUGCGCACGCAGUGUGGAAUCCGCUUGUCGGGAGAAACACGCGUGUACGGGCAGAGCGCUGGGGCUUUUCCAGCGUCCAGCUCGCCAUCGACGGCCCUUGAAACUUUGCCUGCUG
RNAcentral lists this ribosomal RNA (1099 nucleotides) under Stenogramma sp. RNAcentral's name for it is "eukaryotic LSU rRNA". It matches the Rfam family "Eukaryotic large subunit ribosomal RNA", at positions 677 to 1828 of the family's 3401-position model. The record is from RNAcentral. Lineage: Eukaryota; Rhodophyta; Florideophyceae; Gigartinales; Phyllophoraceae.